GAAACGUCGGGGCUCUGAGACGUGGGCAGGCUUGGAGGAUUUAUUUGCUGCUGAGACUCGACCCCGGAGCUUCCGUCUCCAGCACCUGUUCUUGGAGCAUCCAGAAUUGGCUAGUGCUAUUUGAGGUCUGUCUUCCCAGGUGGUGCAGUGAUGAAGAAGCUGCCUGCGAUGCAGGAGACACAGGCUCUCAUACAUCCUGUUCUGAAGUGCUCUUCUUAAUGGCUACCUGAAGACUUGGGACUAUUUCUAAAUUGCCAUGGCUUCCCUGUGCCCAGUUGCCUCAAGACUCUGGGCUCUCAAGACACCCCAGGCUUUGUUAAACAAUGGAGAGCCUGGCUCCUGGGCUGGUGAAGAUGCAGAUCUGAAUGUUUAGAGGAUGGACCCAGACUUCCAGGAGACCUUCCCUGAGUUUUUCUGGCUGCCUCGAUCUUCUGUCAUUGUUUGCAGGAAGCAGGACCACCAGGAGCUGAGGAACAUCUGAAACACUGGCCAAUUGUCCUUCAAUCAGUUAUUCACUUUGCCGUCAUGACUUCAUCGACGAUUCCAUGAAACCCAGAGCUGCUACCAGGACAGUUCUAGGACAGCCGUCAUCCUCAGCUUCCUCUUCGCUGUUACUGCCCGUCUUGUCAUCACUGUCAGCAUCCAUCUGUCAAGCACUGAACAGUGUGAGCUGAAGAUUUCCUUGGAGCUGGAGCACUAUUUGGCAGCCACUGGGCAAGUUGGUGGAGGAAGAGGAGAUACAAGGAUGAAGGAGAUGAAGACUCAGCCCACUGUUCAACCUACCCACCAGCUUGCAUCCUAACAGGGGAAGAGACCUGCCCACAGACAG
Molecule: long non-coding RNA, 829 nt
Organism: Dama dama (fallow deer)
Lineage: Eukaryota; Metazoa; Chordata; Mammalia; Artiodactyla; Cervidae
Exons: 6
Source: RefSeq, a predicted model, not a curated record